This 77-nucleotide small RNA is filed under the name Flavobacterium urumqiense. RNAcentral's name for it is "Flavo-1 RNA". It matches the Rfam family "Flavo-1 RNA". The record is from RNAcentral. Lineage: Bacteria; Pseudomonadati; Bacteroidota; Flavobacteriia; Flavobacteriales; Flavobacteriaceae.
AAUUUGCGUGAGGGAUAGAGGCGGUAUCCUUUUUUGGCUUUUUAGCCAAAAAGAUAAAGCCGAAAGCCCGACCCUUG